UACGGGGGGGGCAAGCGUUGUUCGGAAUUACUGGGCGUAAAGGGCUCGUAGGCGGCCAACUAAGUCAGACGUGAAAUCCCUCGGCUUAACCGGGGAACUGCAUCUGAUACUGGAUGGCUAGAGAUUGGGAGAGGGAUGCGGAAUUCCAGGUGUAGCGGUGAAAUGCGUAGAUAUCUGGAGGAACACCGGUGGCGAAGGCGGCAUCCUGGACCAACACUGACGCUGAGGAGCGAAAGCCAGGGGAGCAAACGGG
This 253-nucleotide ribosomal RNA is filed under the name uncultured bacterium. RNAcentral's name for it is "partial 16S ribosomal RNA". It matches the Rfam family "Bacterial small subunit ribosomal RNA", at positions 524 to 776 of the family's 1533-position model. The record is from RNAcentral.